CCUACGGGAGGCAGCAGUGGGGAAUAUUGCACAAUGGGGGAAACCCUGAUGCAGCGACGCCGCGUGAGUGAAGAAGUAAUUCGUUAUGUAAAGCUCUAUCAGCAGGGAAGAAAAUGACGGUACCUGAGUAAGAAGCCCCGGCUAACUACGUGCCAGCAGCCGCGGUAAUACGUAGGGGGCAAGCGUUAUCCGGAUUUACUGGGUGUAAAGGGAGCGUAGACGGCAGUGCAAGUCUGGAGUGAAAGGCGGGGGCUCAACCCCCGGACUGCUCUGGAAACUGUACGGCUGGAGUGCAGGAGAGGUAAGUGGAAUUCCUAGUGUAGCGGUGAAAUGCGUAGAUAUUAGGAGGAACACCAGUGGCGAAGGCGGCUUACUGGACUGUAACUGACGCUGAGGAGCGAAAGCGUGGGUAGCAAACAGGAUUAGAUACCCCUGUAGUC
This 440-nucleotide ribosomal RNA is filed under the name uncultured bacterium. RNAcentral describes it as "partial 16S ribosomal RNA". It matches the Rfam family "Bacterial small subunit ribosomal RNA", at positions 338 to 795 of the family's 1533-position model. The record is from RNAcentral.